UGGCACGUAGCUCAGUCUGGCUAGAGCCUAGGGUCGGGAGUUCAAAUCUCCCCGUGUCAA
This 60-nucleotide transfer RNA is filed under the name Butyrivibrio sp. INlla21. Its description in RNAcentral is "tRNA_Undet_???". It matches the Rfam family "tRNA". From Rfam's summary of the family: Transfer RNA (tRNA) molecules are approximately 80 nucleotides in length. The record is from RNAcentral. Lineage: Bacteria; Bacillati; Bacillota; Clostridia; Lachnospirales; Lachnospiraceae.